Long non-coding RNA from Astatotilapia calliptera (eastern happy), 479 nucleotides. The record is from Ensembl. NCBI's taxonomy places the organism in Eukaryota, Metazoa, Chordata, Actinopteri, Cichliformes, Cichlidae.
GUCGCGGAGAGGGCAACGAUGGUAGAGGGGAGGGUAGGAGUCCAGGUCAGCUUCGGCUCUCAGAAAAAACAAAAACAAAACAAAACAGGCGAACAGGAAAAUGAUGUUGUGUUGGCUGUGCUGUGUUGGCUGUGUUAUCCCGAGAGGGGAGAAACAACGAGAUCUCGUCUCCCCCCUUUUUUGUUUUUGUUUUUUUUUUUUUUUUUUUUUUCACCAUAUAAUCAACUCAUAACCCCUCAAGUUGACAGGACAACACAGUGAUUUACCAGGAACAUCUUUUCCUUUUCUCCAUGUCUUCCGCCAGAGGUUAACACCGGUGAGAUUCAGGGACACAGCACCCAGAGCGGUUCAGCAAGAAAAACCCGCCUCAAACUACAUUCUCUCUUUUUUGUUUUACCGGGAGGGGUGAGGACAACUCUGGUGUCCAGCCGUGAAUUUUAGCCAAAGCUUGGCCUGUCUUCUGCUGCCGUACUCAGGCU